This 202-nucleotide long non-coding RNA is filed under the name Citrus sinensis (sweet orange). RNAcentral's name for it is "long non-coding RNA (CSIN_LNC003543)". Lineage: Eukaryota; Viridiplantae; Streptophyta; Magnoliopsida; Sapindales; Rutaceae. The record is from RNAcentral.
GAGAAUAAACAAAUACCCAAAAAGCAAUAAAACAAUUAAAGCACAAGAAAGAUCUCACAGUAGUGAUGAAUCAAAGCUUCGUUAUCCUUCAACCAGAAAAAUAGGUUUAGUUCUUCAUAGAGAGGAGAGAAAAAUUAAAUCUAGGGUUUCUUUCUUUUUCUCCAAUCCAAAAUUCCCUCCUUUUUCACAAUAGAUUCCUCCC